GACGAACGCUGGCGGCGUGCUUAACACAUGCAAGUCGAACGGUAAGGCUCCAGCUUGCUGGGGUACACGAGUGGCGAACGGGUGAGUAACACGUGGGUGACCUGCCCUGCACUUCGGGAUAAGCCUGGGAAACUGGGUCUAAUACCGGAUAGGACCGCACCGUGAGGGUGUGGUGGAAAGUUUUUUCGGUGUGGGAUGGGCCCGCGGCCUAUCGGCUUGUUGGUGGGGUAAUGGCCUACCAAGGCGGCGACGGGUAGCCGGCCUGAGAGGGUGGACGGCCACAUUGGGACUGAGACACGGCCCAGACUCCUACGGGAGGCAGCAGUGGGGAAUAUUGCACAAUGGGCGGAAGCCUGAUGCAGCGACGCCGCGUGGGGGAUGACGGCCUUCGGGUUGUAAACUCCUUUCACCAUCGACGAAGGGUUUCUGACGGUAGAUGGAGAAGAAGCACCGGCUAACUACGUGCCAGCAGCCGCGGUAAUACGUAGGGUGCGAGCGUUGUCCGGAAUUACUGGGCGUAAAGAGCUCGUAGGUGGUUUGUCGCGUCGUCUGUGAAAUUCCGGGGCUUAACUCCGGGCGUGCAGGCGAUACGGGCAUAACUUGAGUACUGUAGGGGAGACUGGAAUUCCUGGUGUAGCGGUGAAAUGCGCAGAUAUCAGGAGGAACACCGGUGGCGAAGGCGGGUCUCUGGGCAGUAACUGACGCUGAGGAGCGAAAGCAUGGGGAGCGAACAGGAUUAGAUACCCUGGUAGUCCAUGCCGUAAACGGUGGGCGCUAGGUGUGGGUUUCCUUCCACGGGAUCCGUGCCGUAGCUAACGCAUUAAGCGCCCCGCCUGGGGAGUACGGCCGCAAGGCUAAAACUCAAAGGAAUUGACGGGGGCCCGCACAAGCGGCGGAGCAUGUGGAUUAAUUCGAUGCAACGCGAAGAACCUUACCUGGGCUUGACAUAUACAGGAUCGCGCCAGAGAUGGUGUUUCCCUUGUGGCUUGUAUACAAGUGGUGCAUGGUUGUCGUCAGCUCGUGUCGUGAGAUGUUGGGUUAAGUCCCGCAACGAGCGCAACCCUUGUCUUAUGUUACCAGCACGUUGUGGUGGGGACUCGUAAGAAACUGCCGGGGUUAACUCGGAGGAAGGUGGGGAUGACGUCAAAUCAUCAUGCCCCUUAUGUCCAGGGCUUCACACAUGCUACAAUGGUCGGUACAGUGGGUUGCCAGUCCGUGAGGGCGAGCUAAUCCCGCAAAGCCGGUCUCAGUUCGGAUCGGGGUCUGCAACUCGACCCCGUGAAGUCGGAGUCGCUAGUAAUCGCAGAUCAGCAACGCUGCGGUGAAUACGUUCCCGGGCCU
RNAcentral lists this ribosomal RNA (1341 nucleotides) under uncultured bacterium. Its description in RNAcentral is "16S ribosomal RNA". It matches the Rfam family "Bacterial small subunit ribosomal RNA", at positions 28 to 1381 of the family's 1533-position model. The record is from RNAcentral.